GGGGGCGUAGCUCAGUGGUAGAGUGUACGCUUAGCAUGCGUGAGGUCCUGGGUUCAGUCCCCAGGACUGCCA
Molecule: transfer RNA, 72 nt
Filed under: Camelus bactrianus (Bactrian camel)
Lineage: Eukaryota; Metazoa; Chordata; Mammalia; Artiodactyla; Camelidae
Also listed under: 2 other names
Rfam family: tRNA
About the family: Transfer RNA (tRNA) molecules are approximately 80 nucleotides in length.
Source: Rfam by way of RNAcentral